Molecule: ribosomal RNA, 497 nt
Filed under: uncultured bacterium
Lineage: Bacteria
Description: partial 16S ribosomal RNA
Rfam family: Bacterial small subunit ribosomal RNA
Source: RNAcentral
GAUGAACGCUGGCGGCGUGCCUAAUACAUGCAAGUCGAGCGAACAGACGAGGAGCUUGCUCCUUCGACGUUAGCGGCGGACGGGUGAGUAACACGUAGGUAACCUACCUAUAAGACUGGGAUAACUUCGGGAAACCGGAGCUAAUACCGGAUAAUAUUUCGAACCGCAUGGUUCGAUAGUGAAAGAUGGCUUUGCUAUCACUUAUAGAUGGACCUGCGCCGUAUUAGCUAGUUGGUAAGGUAACGGCUUACCAAGGCAACGAUACGUAGCCAACCUGAGAGGGUGAUCGGCCACACUGGAACUGAGACACGGUCCAGACUCCUACGGGAGGCAGCAGUAGGGAAUCUUCCGCAAUGGGCGAAAGCCUGACGGAGCAACGCCGCGUGAGUGAUGAAGGUCUUCGGAUCGUAAAACUCUGUUAUUAGGGAAGAACAAACGUGUAAGUAACUGUGCACGUCUUGACGGUACCUAAUCAGAAAGCCACGGCUAACUACGUG